GGCAGCGGGGAGGAAGCUUGCUUUCUCCGCCGGCGACCGGCGCACGGGUGAGUUAACACAUAUGCAACCCGCCCCUGUCAGGGGGGACAACCCGCCAAAAGGAGGGCUAAACCCGCGUACAUGCCACCGGGGCAUCCCGGAGGCAGGAAAGGCUUCGGCCGGACAGGGAUGGGCAUGCGGCGCAUUAGGCAGUAGGCGGGGUAACGGCCCACCUAACCGACGAUGCGUAGGGGUUCUGAGAGGAAGGUCCCCCACACUGGUACUGAGACACGGACCAGACUCCUACGGGAGGCAGCAGUGAGGAAUAUUGGUCAAUGGUCGGGAGACUGAACCAGCCAAGCCGCGUGAGGGAGGAAGGUACAGAGUAUCGUAAACCUCUUUUGUCAGGGAACAAAGGCGGGGACGUGUCCCCGGAUGAGUGUACCUGAAGAAAAAGCAUCGGCUAACUCCGUGCCAGCAGCCGCGGUAAUACGGAGGAUGCGAGCGUUAUCCGGAUUUAUUGGGUUUAAAGGGUGCGCAGGCGGUCUGUUAAGUCAGCGGUCAAAGCCCGGGGCUCAACCCCGGCCCGCCGUUGAAACUGGCAGUCUCGAGUUGGAGAGAAGUAUGCGGAAUGCGCGGUGUAGCGGUGAAAUGCAUAGAUAUCGCGCAGAACUCCGAUUGCGAAGGCAGCAUGCCGGCUCCACACUGACGCUGAGGCACGAAAGCGUGGGUAUCGAACAGGAUUAGAUACCCUGGUAGUCCACGCAGUAAACGAUGAAUGCUGGCUGUCCGGGGGGACUGACCCCUGGGUGGCGAAGCGAAAGCGAUAAGCAUUCCACCUGGGGAGUACGCCGGCAACGGUGAAACUCAAAAGGAAUUGACGGGGGCCCGCACAAGCGGAGGAACAUGUGGUUUAAUUCGAUGAUACGCGAGGAACCUUACCCGGGCUCAAACGGGGAGUGACUCAGGCAGAGACGCCUGUUUCCCACGUGACACUCCCCGAGGUGCUGCAUGGUUGUCGUCAGCUCGUGCCGUGAGGUGUCGGCUUAAGUGCCAUAACGAGCGCAACCCCCGCGUGCAGUUGCUAACAGAUAACGCUGAGGACUCUGCACGGACUGCCGGCGCAAGCCGCGAGGAAGGCGGGGAUGACGUCAAAUCAGCACGGCCCUUACGUCCGGGGCGACAUACGUGUUACAAUGGGUGGUACAGCGGGAAGCCAGGCGGCGACGCCGAGCGGAACCCGAAAUCCACUCUCAGUUCGGAUCGGAGUCUGCAACCCGACUCCGUGAAGCUGGAUUCGCUAGUAAUCGCGCAUCAGCCAUGGCGCGGUGAAUACGUUCCCGGGCCUUGUACUCACCGCCCGUCAAG
RNAcentral lists this ribosomal RNA (1347 nucleotides) under uncultured bacterium. RNAcentral's name for it is "bacterial SSU rRNA". It matches the Rfam family "Bacterial small subunit ribosomal RNA", at positions 66 to 1401 of the family's 1533-position model. The record is from RNAcentral.